UACGGAGGAUUCGAGCGUUAUCCGGAUUUAUUGGGUUUAAAGGGUGCGUAGGCGGACUGAUAAGUCAGUGGUGAAAGCCUGUUGCUUAACAACAGAACUGCCAUUGAUACUGCCAGUCUUGAGUACAGUUGAGGUAGGCGGAAUGUGUCAUGUAGUGGUGAAAUACUUAGAUAUGACACAGAACACCGAUUGCGAAGGCAGCUUGCUAAACUGUAACUGACGCUGAGGCACGAAAGCAUGGGGAGCAAACAGG
Molecule: ribosomal RNA, 253 nt
Filed under: uncultured bacterium
Lineage: Bacteria
Description: partial 16S ribosomal RNA
Rfam family: Bacterial small subunit ribosomal RNA
Source: RNAcentral